Molecule: ribosomal RNA, 632 nt
Filed under: uncultured bacterium
Lineage: Bacteria
Description: bacterial SSU rRNA
Rfam family: Bacterial small subunit ribosomal RNA (bases 1-523)
Source: RNAcentral
CCUACGGGAGGCAGCAGUGGGGAAUCUUGCGCAAUGGGCGAAAGCCUGACGCAGCCAUGCCGCGUGAAUGAUGAAGGUCUUAGGAUUGUAAAAUUCUUUCACCGGGGACGAUAAUGACGGUACCCGGAGAAGAAGCCCCGGCUAACUUCGUGCCAGCAGCCGCGGUAAUACGAAGGGGGCUAGCGUUGCUCGGAAUUACUGGGCGUAAAGGGAGCGUAGGCGGAUAGUUUAGUCAGAGGUGAAAGCCCAGGGCUCAACCUUGGAAUUGCCUUUGAUACUGGCUAUCUUGAGUACGGAAGAGGUAUGUGGAACUCCGAGUGUAGAGGUGAAAUUCGUAGAUAUUCGGAAGAACACCAGUGGCGAAGGCGACAUACUGGUCCGUUACUGACGCUGAGGCUCGAAAGCGUGGGGAGCAAACAGGAUUAGAUACCCUGGUAGUCCACGCUGUAAACGAUGAGUGCUAGUUGUCGGGCGAUGCAUGCAUGUCGGGUGGACGCGAGCUAACGACAUUAAGUACACCUCCGCCGUCGGGGAGGUACGGGUCGGCGAAGAAGUUAAAACUUAACUAAAUUAGAAGUUAGUUACGGCGUGAGACGUUGCCGAACGGACGACCGACCGAAGGGGAGGUUAGG